RNAcentral lists this ribosomal RNA (232 nucleotides) under uncultured bacterium. Its description in RNAcentral is "partial 16S ribosomal RNA". It matches the Rfam family "Bacterial small subunit ribosomal RNA", at positions 118 to 347 of the family's 1533-position model. The record is from RNAcentral.
UGGGCAACCUGCCCCUAGCUCUGGGAUAACUGCGGGAAACUGUAGCUAAUACCGGAUGUGACACGAGACUGCAUGGUCUUCGUGUGGAAAGAUUUAUCGGCUAGGGAUGGGCCCGCGGUCUAUCAGCUUGUUGGUGGGGUAAUGGCCCACCAUGGCGAUGACGGGUAGCCGGCCUGAGAGGGCGACCGGCCACACUGGGACUGAGACACGGCCCAGACUCCUACGGGAGCAG